GCAAGUCGAGGGAGAAGGUUACUUCGGUAACUGGAGACCGGCAGACGGGUGAGUAACACGUGGGAACAUACCUAGUGGUGGGGGAUAACAGUUGGAAACGACUGCUAAUACCGCAUACGCCCUUCGGGGGAAAGAUUUAUCGCCAUUAGAUUGGCCCGCGUUAGAUUAGCUAGUUGGUAAGGUAAAAGCUUACCAAGGCGACGAUCCGUAGCUGGUCUGAGAGGAUGAUC
This 230-nucleotide ribosomal RNA is filed under the name uncultured bacterium. RNAcentral describes it as "partial 16S ribosomal RNA". It matches the Rfam family "Bacterial small subunit ribosomal RNA", at positions 57 to 305 of the family's 1533-position model. The record is from RNAcentral.